GACGAACGCUGGCGGCGUGCCUAAUACAUGCAAGUCGAACGCACUCUCGUUUAGAUUGAAGGAGCUUGCUCCUGAUUGAUAAACAUUUGAGUGAGUGGCGGACGGGUGAGUAACACGUGGGUAACCUGCCCUAAAGUGGGGGAUAACAUUUGGAAACAGAUGCUAAAUACCGCAUAAAACCUAAACACCGCAUGGUGUAGGGUUGAAAGAUGGUUUCGGCUAUCACUUUAGGAUGGACCCGCGGUGCAUUAGUUAGUUGGUGAGGUAAAGGCUCACCAAGACCGUGAUGCAUAGCCGACCUGAGAGGGUAAUCGGCCACACUGGGACUGAGACACGGCCCAGACUCCUACGGGAGGCAGCAGUAGGGAAUCUUCCACAAUGGACGAAAGUCUGAUGGAGCAACGCCGCGUGAGUGAAGAAGGUUUUCGGAUCGUAAAAACUCUGUUGUUGGAGAAGAAUGUAUCUGAUAGUAACUGAUCAGGUAGUGACGGUAUCCAACCAGAAAG
RNAcentral lists this ribosomal RNA (506 nucleotides) under uncultured bacterium. Its description in RNAcentral is "bacterial SSU rRNA". It matches the Rfam family "Bacterial small subunit ribosomal RNA", at positions 28 to 490 of the family's 1533-position model. The record is from RNAcentral.